UGCACAACGCUCAGCAAUAACAAGUAAUUUUAUUUUUUAAUUUCUAUUUUGAUGAUGCAUCCCCCUUCUUACUCUCUGACAUGCAUCUCUUUUUUGGCCUCAAUUAAAUGGAAUAUGUUUUUUGUAAAUACUAUAUUUUGUCUGGAUCUAAAAUAAAUUUUCUAAAAAUAAAAUAAAAUAAGAACAAAAAAUAAUCAGUCUAUUUUGAAUUUUCAGUUUGAAUUUUAAUUGGCAUUUUCAAUUUCAAUAUUUCCUUUUUUUAUUUUUCUUUUCAAUUUUAGUUCUCAAAUAGUAAUUUUUUUUAUUAAAAUUUAAAACAAAUGAAAUAAAAUAAAAUCUGAAAUAAAAUAAAAGUAAAAUAGCGAACAAAAAGAAAAUAAAUUUGUUUUGAAUUUUGGUUGGCAUUUUGAUUUCAAUCUUUUAUCUUCAUUUAAAAAAUUAAUGUCGUUUUAUUUGUGUCAUUUAAUUAAAGAAAGAAAUUUAAAAGAAAACAAAAUGAAUUGUUUGGAUUCCAUUCUGAUUUUUGAUCUUACAUUUUCAAUUUAUUCUAAAUUUCAUGUUCUUUAUUAUUUUAUAAAAAGAAGAAAAAUACUCUGUUGGGUCUUAAUUUUAACCUUUAAGUUUGGGAUAUUCUCCCAUUUUAAUUUUUUAGGGGGAAGUAGAAGAGGAUAGGAAUUAAUUAAAAUAGGAAUUAAUUAAUGAUCAAUUAAUUUUGUUAAUUUCCUAAGCUACCUAGGUCUCUGUAGAGAAAACUCCUCCUCUUCCUUUGACUGACUCUUUAAAAACUCAAACCUCUAUUUAAGAAGAAAACAAUGAUCCUCUUUGGAUACUGGCUCUCCAUAUAAAACUCACGCUAUCUGCUCUCUCUGGAUGAGGAGAUGAGCACCUGUUCUCACAAAAAAAAAAAAAAAAA
RNAcentral lists this unclassified non-coding RNA (913 nucleotides) under Hevea brasiliensis (rubber tree). The record is from RNAcentral. Lineage: Eukaryota; Viridiplantae; Streptophyta; Magnoliopsida; Malpighiales; Euphorbiaceae.